RNAcentral lists this ribosomal RNA (441 nucleotides) under uncultured bacterium. RNAcentral describes it as "partial 16S ribosomal RNA". It matches the Rfam family "Bacterial small subunit ribosomal RNA", at positions 338 to 795 of the family's 1533-position model. The record is from RNAcentral.
CCUACGGGUGGCAGCAGUGGGGGAUAUUGCACAAUGGGGGAAACCCUGAUGCAGCGACACCGCGUGGGUGAAGAAGCGCUUCGGCGUGUAAAGCCCUAUCAGUGGGGAAGAAAAAGGACGGUACCCAAAGAAGAAGCACCGGCUAAAUACGUGCCAGCAGCCGCGGUAAUACGUAUGGUGCAAGCGUUAUCCGGAAUGACUGGGUGUAAAGGGAGCGUAGACGGUUGUACAAGUCUGAUGUGAAAGCCCACGGCUCAACUGUGGGAGUGCAUUGGAAACUGUAGAACUAGAGUAUCGGAGAGGCAAGUGGAAUUCCUAGUGUAGCGGUGAAAUGCGUAGAUAUUAGGAGGAACACCAGUGGCGAAGGCGGCUUGCUGGACGAAAACUGACGUUGAGGCUCGAAAGCGUGGGGAGCAAACAGGAUUAGAUACCCCUGUAGUC